RNAcentral lists this transfer RNA (77 nucleotides) under Acidimangrovimonas sp. RNAcentral's name for it is "tRNA-Pro". It matches the Rfam family "tRNA". Rfam says of the family: Transfer RNA (tRNA) molecules are approximately 80 nucleotides in length. Their secondary structure includes four short double-helical elements and three loops (D, anti-codon, and T loops). Lineage: Bacteria; Pseudomonadati; Pseudomonadota; Alphaproteobacteria; Rhodobacterales; Paracoccaceae. RNAcentral also lists the same sequence under 1 other name. The record is from RNAcentral.
CGGGGCGUAGCUCAGCCUGGUAGAGCGUACGCUUUGGGUGCGUAAAGUCGCGAGUUCGAAUCCCGCCGCCCCGACCA